Molecule: transfer RNA, 76 nt
Filed under: Oscillospiraceae bacterium
Lineage: Bacteria; Bacillati; Bacillota; Clostridia; Eubacteriales; Oscillospiraceae
Description: tRNA-Met
Rfam family: tRNA
About the family: Transfer RNA (tRNA) molecules are approximately 80 nucleotides in length. Their secondary structure includes four short double-helical elements and three loops (D, anti-codon, and T loops).
Source: RNAcentral
CGCGGAGUAGAGCAGUUGGUAGCUCGUCGGGCUCAUAACCCGGAGGUCGUAGGUUCGAGUCCUGCCUACGCAACCA